UACCGAGUGGCGGACGGGUGAGUAACGCGUGGGUAACCUGCCUCAUACAGGGGGAUAACGGUUAGAAAUGACUGCUAAUACCGCAUAAGCGCACAGUACCGCAUGGUACAGUGUGAAAAACUCCGGUGGUAUGAGAUGGACCCGCGUCUGAUUAGCUAGUUGGUGGGGUAACGGCCCACCAAGGCAACGAUCAGUAGCCGACCUGAGAGGGUGACCGGCCACAUUGGGACUGAGACACGGCCCAGACUCCUACGGGAGGCAGCAGUA
RNAcentral lists this ribosomal RNA (267 nucleotides) under uncultured bacterium. RNAcentral's name for it is "partial 16S ribosomal RNA". It matches the Rfam family "Bacterial small subunit ribosomal RNA", at positions 89 to 355 of the family's 1533-position model. The record is from RNAcentral.